Molecule: ribosomal RNA, 615 nt
Filed under: Arsenophonus endosymbiont of Aphis citricidus
Lineage: Bacteria; Pseudomonadati; Pseudomonadota; Gammaproteobacteria; Enterobacterales; Morganellaceae
Description: bacterial SSU rRNA
Rfam family: Bacterial small subunit ribosomal RNA
Source: RNAcentral
AGAGUUUGAUCAUGGCUCAGAUUGAACGCUGGCGGCAGGCCUAACACAUGCAAGUCGAGCGGCAGUGGAAGGAAGCUUGCUUCCUUGCCGGCGAGCGGCGGACGGGUGAGUAAGGUAUGGGGAUCUGGCCGAAGGCGGGGGAUAACCACUGGAAACGGUGGCUAAUACCGCAUAAUCUCUAAGGAGCAAAGUGGGGGACCGUUCAGGCCUCACACCUUCGGAUGAACCCAUAUGAGAUUAGCUAGUAGGUGGGGUAAUGGCUCACCUAGGCGACGAUCUCUAGCUGGUCUGAGAGGAUGAUCAGCCACACUGGGACUGAGACACGGCCCAGACUCCUACGGGAGGCAGCAGUGGGGAAUAUUGCACAAUGGGCGCAAGCCUGAUUCAGCCAUGCCGCGUGUAUGAAGAAGGCCUUCGGGUUGUAAAGUACUUUCAGUCGUGAGGAAGGUGUUAAGGUUAAUAACCUUAGCAAUUGACGUUAGCGACAGAAGAAGCACCGGCUAACUCCGUGCCAGCAGCCGCGGUAAUACGGAGAGUGCGAGCGUUAAUCGGAAUUACUGGGCGUAAAGGGCACGCAGGCGGUUAAUUAAGAUGGAUGUGAAAUCCCCGGGCUUA